RNAcentral lists this non-coding RNA (29 nucleotides) under Homo sapiens (human). The record is from RNAcentral. Lineage: Eukaryota; Metazoa; Chordata; Mammalia; Primates; Hominidae.
CGCUUACACAGUAACCAGCCUAGGAUUGA